AUAGAUCGUACCAUGGUUUGGCAAGCCAGAAAUGUGUUUGAGCAAAUUGUCAUUAUAUAUCUAAUCUGGUCAUUCACAUAGGUAGUCGAAAAUCUACAUCUACUCUCAGAGAUUGAAGUUGGAAUGACUUCGUGAAGUAUGACAUGAAAAUCUGAACAUUUCAUGAUUUAUUUGAUUUUUUCUAUUGUUAAGUAUGAUUUUGAUUUGACUAUUGUGACUGUGAUAUGAUGUUUUCUU
RNAcentral lists this long non-coding RNA (237 nucleotides) under Carica papaya (papaya). RNAcentral's name for it is "long non-coding RNA (CPAP_LNC007894)". The record is from RNAcentral. Lineage: Eukaryota; Viridiplantae; Streptophyta; Magnoliopsida; Brassicales; Caricaceae.